Molecule: long non-coding RNA, 209 nt
Organism: Octopus sinensis (East Asian common octopus)
Lineage: Eukaryota; Metazoa; Mollusca; Cephalopoda; Octopoda; Octopodidae
Exons: 5
Source: RefSeq, a predicted model, not a curated record
AUAUAUAUGCAUUAUUGAAAAUAGAGAUUACUCCGAAGUAGCAGUAGCAUUACCUUUAAUUCUAUAAUUAUAUACUGCCUUUUAAGACCAACACUUUUUCAAUUGCACCGACUAGUAAUCGUUGCAAUUGCAACCCUACUAUAAAACGGUGCAGUCUCUUUGGGGUCUUAACUUGAUAGCCUUAUGUAUGUGUAAUAUAUAUAUAUAUA